GAUGAACGCUAGCGGCAGGCCUAACACAUGCAAGUCGAGGGGCAGCACGUCUUCGGAUGGUGGCGACCGGCGCACGGGUGCGUAACGCGUAUGCAACCUACCUCUUACAGUGGGAUAGCCCAGAGAAAUUUGGAUUAAUACCGCAUAGUAUGCGACAUCAGCAUUGAUGACGUAUUAAACAUUCAUGGGUAAGAGAUGGGCAUGCGUUCUAUUAGUUAGUUGGAGUGGUAACGGCACCCCAAGACAGCGAUAGAUAGGGGCCCUGAGAGGGGGAUCCCCCACGACUGGUACUGAGACACGGACCAGACUCCUACGGGAGGCAGCAGUGAGGAAUAUUGGACAAUGGGCGGGAGCCUGAUCCAGCCAUGCCGCGUGCAGGAAGACU
Molecule: ribosomal RNA, 385 nt
Filed under: uncultured bacterium
Lineage: Bacteria
Description: bacterial SSU rRNA
Rfam family: Bacterial small subunit ribosomal RNA
Source: RNAcentral